ACGGCAGCGGGGGCUUCGGCCUGCCGGCGAGUGGCGAACGGGUGAGUAAUGCAUCGGAACGUGCCCAGUCAUGGGGGAUAACUACGCGAAAGCGUAGCUAAUACCGCAUACGCCCUGAGGGGGAAAGUGGGGGAUCUUCGGACCUCACGUGAUUGGAGCGGCCGAUGUCAGAUUAGCUAGUUGGUGAGGUAAAGGCUCACCAAGGCGACGAUCUGUAGCGGGUCUGAGAGGAUGAUCCGCCACACUGGGACUGAGACACGGCCCAGACUCCUACGGGAGGCAGCAGUGGGGAAUUUUGGACAAUGGGCGCAAGCCUGAUCCAGCCAUGCCGCGUGAGUGAAGAAGGCCUUCGGGUUGUAAAGCUCUUUCGCAAGGGAAGAAAACGUGUGGGCUAAUAUCCUGCGCGGAUGAC
Molecule: ribosomal RNA, 412 nt
Filed under: Azoarcus sp.
Lineage: Bacteria; Pseudomonadati; Pseudomonadota; Betaproteobacteria; Rhodocyclales; Zoogloeaceae
Description: bacterial SSU rRNA
Rfam family: Bacterial small subunit ribosomal RNA
Source: RNAcentral